Tympanuchus pallidicinctus (lesser prairie-chicken) is the source of this 1201-nucleotide long non-coding RNA. RefSeq lists it as uncharacterized. The record is from RefSeq and is a predicted model, not a curated record. The transcript is spliced from 3 exons. Lineage: Eukaryota; Metazoa; Chordata; Aves; Galliformes; Phasianidae.
GCCGGGGCUGGAAGGAGGGAGGGAACGGAAUAGCGGCAGGGGAGGGUGCUACAGCCCGGGAGGAGGCAGCCUGAGGCCGCCCCCGCUGCAGAAAGUUGGGCUGGAGUCUUUAACUGGCAUCCUAGAAGAGCCUCUCAGACAACUGAAGAGAAUUUCAACACCAUAUUGAAAUGAAGAAGAAAAUGGCAAGAUUUUCAGCUGCAAAGCAAAUCUUUUCCAAAGAAUCACUAGGUUCCAUCAAAUGAAUGACACAGGAAAAAUAUUAGAGGUGACCAGUGUUUGAAAGCAGAAUAUGUAUAAAAAGAUGUUUAUAUGUGCAAUUUUUUCCUGUUUUAAACCAGUGUACUUGUCUGUAUUGAGUUCGGCACUGUUUUCAGAGAUUCACUCUGAAAGACUAUAAUAAGACAUGAGUAGAUGCAUUUUCAUUUAAUUAACAGACUUUGUUUUCAGAGAGAUGAGGUUCUAUGCAGUAUAUUUUCUUCAGAAUGUGACUUUCUUCCAUUGACCUUGUGCAUGCAUCUGUUAGGAGAAAUGGAAGUUUGUAUUUCUGAAAACCAGGUGAUUUACAGCUCUGUAACUCAGGUGAAGAAAUUUCUCUGCAUUCUGGUGAUUCUCUGAGUUAUGCACUUGAUCCUUAGGCAACAUUUCUGUAAAAGGUUCUAUUACUUGGCAUUACAUGACCAUCCUAAAGAAGUGACAGAACCACACAAAACACUCCAGGAGCCCAGAUCUCUCAGAACCAGACUGAUUUACCCUGAAUCUUGCUUAUCUUCUAACAGUGCAAUGAAGAGAACCUCAUUAUUAAUUAUUAGGAAGCAUUUAACCCUUUAUAGGUAUCUUCUAAGGAAAGUUCACUACAUUUCUUCACAGUUGCCCUGCAUAAAUAUCCUCCUCCUCUAAUCAAGUCAGUGCUACUGAGGUGCUCAGAACUGAAAUGGAGAUUGCACUUGUUCUGUCAUUUUCAGAAAUUUGCUUUGUUGUGUGAGUGGAGCUGAUGAAGUUCAAUAGGUGUCUUGUGCUCUCCGUGGUUUGCACUGCUGUGAUUGUGAAUGGGGAGCAAAGUGAUGAGGUAACUUAAUGAUUCAUUGUUCAUUUUGUAGUUAUUAAUGGGAUCAACAUCCGGCAUCUCGAGGCUCCAAACUUGUUUGGUUUCUGCCAGAUUCCUCAUUAUGCACAGUGCAGACCAGGAAGGUUUUCCCAU